UCGAACCUUUUCAGAGAUUGAAGAUGGACAUCUGGAAGAGAUGGACAUGUGGAAGAAGAAUGGAGAGGAGACACUCUUCUCUCUUCUUUUUCUCUCUUCCCAAAUCCUUAGGAAUAAAAUCCUAGAAAACUAGGUUUUGCGCACACCCAAAGAGAGAGGACUCUCCUCUCUUUUUCUCAUGCCAUGAACCAUGCCCAAACCCCUU
This 205-nucleotide long non-coding RNA is filed under the name Elaeis guineensis (African oil palm). RNAcentral's name for it is "long non-coding RNA (EGUI_LNC055477)". Lineage: Eukaryota; Viridiplantae; Streptophyta; Magnoliopsida; Arecales; Arecaceae. The record is from RNAcentral.